Molecule: long non-coding RNA, 831 nt
Filed under: Vigna radiata
Lineage: Eukaryota; Viridiplantae; Streptophyta; Magnoliopsida; Fabales; Fabaceae
Description: long non-coding RNA (VRAD_LNC000391)
Source: RNAcentral
GGGACUAACCAUGUUUGUCUUCUUGUGAGUGGGUUGUGAUAAAUGUUUGCAUGGAUCUACGAUGAUUUUUAUUGUUAUUUGACCUAUGUUUAUGGUUGGUUAUUAUUGCCUAUUGUUGUGUGAUAUGCAUGGAUUUGUUGUGUGGUUGUGUGAGUAUGAUGAUGUUUAAUUCUAGUAGGAUUGGGUUUAUGUCUAUGGUGCUCGGUGAAGCUCUUGGAAGAGUUAUGGGAGUAACACUGGUACUUGUUCGGUGAAGCUCUCUAGGAAUAUAGUGGUGGGGAGUGAUUAUUGACCCAAUGAAGUUCUCUAAGAAUAAAGUGGUGAAGGGUGUAUACUUGUCCAGUAAAGCUUUAAGAGAGUAGUGGGAAGUGUAAACUUGUUUGGUGAAGCUCUAAGAGAGUGGUGGGAAGUGGUGGGAAAUGUCAAUGUGUAAUGGUGUGGUAAAGUGUACUGGCCCGAUGAAACUCUUUAAGAGAGUAGUGGGAGGUGACACUUGACCUUAUGGGUGCAUCGAGUAAUCUGGUAGUGAUUCAAUAUAUAUAGUGAAUGGUGUAAGAACAAUUGGGUACAAGCUUAUGAUUAACUGAGUGAGUUUGGGUGUGACUUGGUUACUUUGAGGAAAUAGUUGUAGGAUUAUAUGCUAAUGACUUUGAUUGUUGGUAUUGUGGUUGUUAAUGAUUUAUUUUGAGGUGAUGUAUGUGAUAUCAUGUAAAGAUAUGUGUAGGUGUAUGAAGAUAUGUAUAUUUCGAAAGUCUUAUUCUAAGUAGAUGUUAAUAAAUAUGUAUUUUUCUAUGACUUGUUUCUGUUAGUUCACCUUUGCACAUUGUGAUU